Molecule: long non-coding RNA, 1936 nt
Organism: Corapipo altera (White-ruffed manakin)
Lineage: Eukaryota; Metazoa; Chordata; Aves; Passeriformes; Pipridae
Exons: 3
Source: RefSeq, a predicted model, not a curated record
GGGGGAUUCUAUGAAAUUGAAAGAUCUCAAACAAGUUGGUUGUGAACUCUGCAGUUUUUUUUCUUCUUUCUUGAAAGAACCACACCAAACAAACCUCCCCAAAACACAAGAAAACCCCCUAGAAAACAAAACCUCUGAAAACAUUGGAGAAUUUUGAAAUGUUCAAACAAGCAGUUGUUUUUUCAGCUGUUGCAGGUAUUAAACAACAGCAAGAAAAUCCUCUGCUAUGACCUGUCAUUAGAAAUAAUCCUUUCUUGGUCAUGCUGAACAGCUGGGUUCAUUGCUUCUCCUGCAACUGUAAUCUUCAACUUCUCGACUUGUUACCUGCACAAUGAUUCAUCAAAAUGUUAAGCUAAUGAAUGUCUCUCAGAUAUUUGGACACAUAACCACAGCUAGUGGGCACACAGCCAUAGUUUUCUCCAUCGUGAGUCUUCAAAUAUUAUCUGAUCAGGUAAGUAAAGCUGGUUAAGUCUGUACCGAAUCUGCUUACCCUGUCUAGCUGCUACUAAAUAUGCAGUAAAGGAGUAAAUUUUACAGUAGAUAAUAAUGGACAGUUCUGUGUUCGUUUACUGUUUCUGUUACAGUUGAAAAUCUGUCUUGUGCUGGUUGCAUAAUGCUGUCAACAGGGAAGCAAGAUGAUGUCACAGGUUGCAGUAGAUGUUGAUAGUUUGGAAACUGUAAAUUCUGUGAAUGUUCAUAAUAGUAGGGAACCCGAGCAAUGAAAACGAAGGCUAUAGCAGUUAUAUGUUUGCAAGUGCCUUCAAAAACUUCCCAGUUCUUAAGCAAUGAAGAAUAAGGAUGCAUCUAGUAAUUGUUGAUAUGGAGGUAGGAAUGACCACAUUUCUUUUUUUCUAUAAGAUGUACACUCUCAAAAUAAAAGACUCUUUAAAAAUAAAGAAAUCUAAUAACAUACUCCAGAGUUUUUCCCUAUCCUCUUAGGAUGAGAAUCCCAAAUUCAAACCCUCACAUUGCGAGGCCCUUAUUUUUAAUUUCAAGUGCAUAAAGAACAGUGGCAUAUUGCAGUGAUAUACUUGUUUUUAGGAGUGUUUGUAUUUUAGGAGGGUGUGAAGAACUGUGAAAAAACAGGUUUCAGAGAGGCACGUGUUUGGUUUGUAGUUCCUACCAUGGGACCAUAUCCCAGUUUGUGAGUCUAAAAUGACAUUAUGAAAUUGUCAAAAAUAUCUUGCUGUGACCUUGUGGCUGCUGCAGGAAUUUGAGCUUUUGUAUGGCCUGUAGGUUACUAUUUGUUAACGUAACUUCUAGUUUUUAUUGGUGAGACUCCUAUUUGGGCUGACUAAAUUUGCAUGUGUUUUCCAGAAACCAGACUGGGCCACUGAAGCUUCACAUGAAUCGCUGGAGGUGUCCAGGAGUUGCUGCACUCAUAAGUGUAGAGGUAUAUUGUAUCCAGGCUAAGGUCAAUGUUUGUUACUCUGACUCAUUUUAAACAUCUGCCAGUUUGCUGUAACACAGAGUCCAGUCUGGAAACAUUCAGUGGGGCAGGACUGUAUGUAGAAUAAGUCUUCCCAUCUUCUUCUUCCUAUUGUCCUCUCAGAGUUUCAUCAUGUUUGUCUCCAUUGAACCAGUCUGCUCUGGUUCCCAGUGGCAGUGUUAUGUGCCAUUAGCUGGUAAACCUUCCACGGGCCACUGGGGAAUGCCCAGUUGCAGGCCUAAUACAGCCAGAAUUAUUCAGGCCGUGCCCUCUCCUCUAACUGUGAAAGCCUGCAAACAUAGUUUCAAGUCUCAGGGCUUUUACCAGCUGUCAGAAUUUGGACAGUCAAUUCAGCUGGCUCAGUGACUGAAAUCAGUCGUUUUGACUGGCAGUUAUUUAAUUGUCCUACUUGUACAGCAUCCAGGGAGGCCUCUGGCCCCUGCUCUCUUGUACUGUAUCUCUAUUUACAGAGUGACAGAAAACAUUUCCUUGCAAAUGAGGCUCAUU